This 492-nucleotide ribosomal RNA is filed under the name uncultured bacterium. Its description in RNAcentral is "partial 16S ribosomal RNA". It matches the Rfam family "Bacterial small subunit ribosomal RNA", at positions 29 to 507 of the family's 1533-position model. The record is from RNAcentral.
AGUGAACGCUGGCGGUAGGCCUAACACAUGCAAGUCGAACGGCAGCACAGUAAGAGCUUGCUCUUACGGGUGGCGAGUGGCGGACGGGUGAGGAAUACAUCGGAAUCUACUUUUUCGUGGGGGAUAACGUAGGGAAACUUACGCUAAUACCGCAUACGUCCUACGGGUGAAAGCAGGGGAUCUUCGGACCUUGCGCGAUUGAAUGAGCCGAUGUCGGAUUAGCUAGUUGGCGGGGUAAAGGCCCACCAAGGCGACGAUCCGUAGCUGGUCUGAGAGGAUGGUCAGCCACACUGGAACUGAGACACGGUCCAGACUCCUACGGGAGGCAGCAGUGGGGAAUAUUGGACAAUGGGCGCAAGCCUGAUCCAGCUAUACCGCGUGGGUGAAGAAGGCCUUCGGGUUGUAAAGCCCUUUUGUUGGGAAAGAAAAGCAGCAGGUUAAUACCCCGCUGUUCUGACGGUACCCAAAGAAUAAGCACCGGCUAACUUCGUG